RNAcentral lists this unclassified non-coding RNA (229 nucleotides) under plant metagenome. RNAcentral's name for it is "partial contains small subunit ribosomal RNA, internal transcribed spacer 1, and 5.8S ribosomal RNA". The record is from RNAcentral.
UCUCCGUAGGUGAACCUGCGGAGGGAUCAUUACAGAGUUCAUGCCCUACCGGGUAGAUCUCCCACCCUAUGUUAUUAUUACUUUGUUGCUUUGGCGGGCCGUUAGGCUCCGGCCCGACUACCGGCCCCGGCUGGUAAGCGCCCGCCAGAGGACCCAAAACCCUAAAUAUUAGUGUCGUCUGAGUACUAUUUAUUAGUUAAAACUUUCAACAACGGAUCUCUUGGUUCUG